GAUGAAGAACGUAGCGAAAUGCGAUAAGUAAUGUGAAUUGCAGAAUUCAGUGAAUCAUCGAAUCUUUGAACGCACAUUGCGCCCGCCAGUAUUCUGGCGGGCAUGCCUGUCCGAGCGUCAUUUCAACCCUCGAACCCCUCCGGGGGGUCGGCGUUGGGGAUCGGCCCUUUACGGGGCCGGCCCCGAAAUACAGUGGCGGUCUCGCCGCAGCCUCUCCUGCGCAGUAGUUUGCACACUCGCAUCGGGAGCGCGGCGCGUCCACAGCCGUUAAACACCCCAAACUUCUGUAAUGUUGACCUCGGAUCAGGUAGGAAUACCCGCUGAACUUAAGCAUAUCAAUAAGCGGAGGA
RNAcentral lists this unclassified non-coding RNA (350 nucleotides) under soil metagenome. RNAcentral's name for it is "partial contains 5.8S ribosomal RNA, internal transcribed spacer 2, and large subunit ribosomal RNA". The stretch from base 1 to 120 matches the Rfam family "5.8S ribosomal RNA", at positions 35 to 154 of the family's 154-position model. The record is from RNAcentral.